Salmo salar (Atlantic salmon) is the source of this 1202-nucleotide non-coding RNA. The record is from RefSeq and is a predicted model, not a curated record. NCBI's taxonomy places the organism in Eukaryota, Metazoa, Chordata, Actinopteri, Salmoniformes, Salmonidae.
ACAGACAGACAGACAGACAGACAGACAGACAGACAGACAGACAGACAGACAGACAGACAGACAGACAGACAGACAGACAGACAGACAGACAGACAGACAGACAGACAGACAUCCUGAUAUGUUCUUCAGCUACAUUACUCAGAUGCAGAGAACCACAGAAGUGAACUAAUCUCUGAUGGAAUGACCUGAUUGGUAGCCUGGUAGUAAUAUAAUUCCUGAUGGAAUGACCUGAUUGGUAGCCUGGUAGUAAUAUAAUUCCUGAUGGAAUGCCUGACUGGUAGGCUGGUGAUCUGCAUCAGGACUCCCUACUGCAGGAGGAGGAGUAUGCCACACUGCUUCAGGAGUUAUGGAAAACCUAGGAAUUUGGGGAAAGUUACCGGAAUUUUGCAACCCAAUGAGGACCAAUCUGACAUCACAGCCUAUUCCCUAUACUUCACUUACCAGAGCCCUAUGAGGUUACCAGAGCCCUAUGUGGGUUUACCAGGUUACCAGAGCCCUAUGUGGUUACCAGGUUACCAGAGCUCUAUGUGGUUACCUGGUUACCAGAGCUCUAUGUGGUUACCAGGUUACCAGAGCCCUAUAUGGUUACCAGGAUACCAGAGCUCUAUGUGGGUUUACCAGGUUACCAGAGCUCUAUGUGGUUACCAGGUUACCAGAGCUCUAUGUGGUUACCAGGUUACCAGAGCUCUAUGUGGUUACCAGGUUACCAGUGCUCUAUGUGGUUACCAGGUUACCAGAGCCCUAUAUGGUUACCAGGAUACCAGAGCUCUAUGUGGGUUUACCAGGUUACCAGAGCUCUAUGUGGUUACCAGGUUACCAGAGCCCUAUGAGGUUACCAGGUUACCAGAGUCCUACGAGGUUACCAGGUUACCAGAGUCCUACAGGGUUACCAGAGUCCUACGAGGUUACCAGGUUACCAGAGCCCAAUGAGGUUAUAUCUACAUGUGGAUGGGGAACAGUAGAGAAUAGAGUGUCAUUUGGGAUCUCAGUUUAAAUCUUAGUCUAUGAAAUACUCCUAAAGAAGAGAUCAUCGUCGCCACUUGACAGCGAAACAAACUGUCUGAACAAUGUGUUACAUGUGGUAUUAUACAGAUAUAUUUAUAUAUUGUCUCUUUGCACAUUGUGUGUACACCUUUCCUGUAAUGUAAAUAUUGUAAAUACUAAAUAUAUAUGAAAUAUAAAUAAAUGUGUUUGGUAAAUAA